This 1245-nucleotide ribosomal RNA is filed under the name Triticum aestivum (bread wheat). RNAcentral's name for it is "partial small subunit ribosomal RNA". The record is from RNAcentral. Lineage: Eukaryota; Viridiplantae; Streptophyta; Magnoliopsida; Poales; Poaceae.
GCUGUGCAAGGGGAGAGAGAGCGGGCUGCGGUGGGUGGUGAGCAAGGGGUGGUGAGCAGAGAGAGAGCGCGCGCUGCGGCAGGAGAGGGGCAGCUACACGGGAGAGCGGCCGUAGAACGAGGCGUGGCAGCGGAUCGAGUGGCGAGGGGUACGUAGCGGCGGAUCGAGUGGCGAGGGUUACGCGGUGGGAGAGUUUGAGGCCGUUACGUGACGACCCGCUCCUCAUCUACGUCUUUCGACGGUAAAAAUACGCGGCCGUUGCGCGACCGCGAUCUAGACUCACGCAACCGCGAGCUAGACGAAGCACCUCUCCGUACUUCCUCCGCGACUUCGCCUCGGCCUCGCCGCGGCCGCGCCCGCACUUCUGCCGCCGUCAUCCUCGACCUCGGGCUCGUCCACCUCCACCUCGGCGUAGACCUGGAACAUGACAUAGUUCUACCUACCUCAUCUCUCGGAUCUCAUCCUUUCUCGGAACCUGGCAUCGGUACCUGUCGCGUACUGUCUCGGUACCUGUCACGUUGUAGUGUUUGAAGUAAGGACAUCUCGGACUACGUCGCGUCGUAGUGUUGGAACUACCUUCCUCCGGUCCGGUACUUCUCUUUUCGAGGACGGGUAUAGCUAAGUUCUCCUCUCCUCUCGGUACCUCCCUCUUCGGACGACGACGUUAUGGAUGGAACAGCAGGAGUACCAUAAGAGGUUGAAGAGUACUUCAAACACAUCGGAAGACAAUGAGUACUUCGAAGACAUCGGAGACAAUGUGUACUUCGAAGACAUCGAAGUGAUCGAAUACUUAGAAGAAAUCGAAGACAUCUAAUUGUUUCUUCAAAGAGUACUUAAGUAGUGAUACUUAGAAGAGUACUUCGAAGAUAAUGAGGUUGAAGACAUCGAACAACUUGAAGACAUCGAAGUCGAAGUCUCAUCGAACAAUUAGAACGUCAAGGGAACGAUCAGUACUUACAAGUAACGAAACCGCUCCCUUUAAGACAUCGAAUCAGCACCACGUCGAAGACAUCAAAAUAAUUUGAAAUCUUUUUAACAGAACCCAGACGUACACGAAGAAGUCUUUUAACUCUUAAAUCACACACAUGGAAGACAUGAAUACGUUCACGUUGAAGACAAUGAGGUUGAAGAGUUCUCUCCUCAUCAAAACAAUCCUUAACAGAAUCAGUACUUACACGUCGAAAACAUAGACUUUUAUAAAUCACUAAGUGACUUCAAAACAGACUUUACUUCAACAUUUAGACC